This 204-nucleotide ribosomal RNA is filed under the name uncultured Saccharopolyspora sp. RNAcentral describes it as "partial 16S ribosomal RNA". It matches the Rfam family "Bacterial small subunit ribosomal RNA", at positions 931 to 1137 of the family's 1533-position model. The record is from RNAcentral. Lineage: Bacteria; Bacillati; Actinomycetota; Actinomycetes; Pseudonocardiales; Pseudonocardiaceae.
GGCGGAGCAUGUGGAUUAAUUCGAUGCAACGCGAAGAACCUUACCUGGGUUUGACAUGCCCCGGACUGCUGCAGAGAUGUGGUUUUCUUCGGACUGGUGUACAGGUGGUGCAUGGCUGUCGUCAGCUCGUGUCGUGAGAUGUUGGGUUAAGUCCCGCAACGAGCGCAACCCUUACUUUAUGUUGCCAGCGCGUGAUGGCGGGGA